ACGUUCCCGGGCCUUGUACACCCCGCCCGUCACACCAUGGGAGUGGGUUGCAAAAGAAGUAGGUAGCUUAACCUUCGGGAGGGCGCUUACCACUUUGUGAUUCAUGACUGGGGUGAAGUCGUAACAAGGUAACCGUAGGGGAACCUGCGGUUGGAUCACCUCCUUACCUUAAAGAAGC
RNAcentral lists this ribosomal RNA (178 nucleotides) under Salmonella enterica subsp. enterica serovar Schwarzengrund. Its description in RNAcentral is "partial 16S ribosomal RNA". It matches the Rfam family "Bacterial small subunit ribosomal RNA", at positions 1368 to 1533 of the family's 1533-position model. The record is from RNAcentral. Lineage: Bacteria; Pseudomonadati; Pseudomonadota; Gammaproteobacteria; Enterobacterales; Enterobacteriaceae.